AAGCGUGCGCAGGCGGUUAUAUAAGACAGAUGUGAAAUCCCCGGGCUCAAACCUGGGAACUGCAUUUGUGACUGUAUAGCUGGAGUGCGGCAGAGGGGGAUGGAAUUCCGCGUGUAGCAGUGAAAUGCGUAGAUAUGCGGAGGAACACCGAUGGCGAAGGCAAUCCCCUGGGCCUGCACUGACGCUCAUGCACGAAAGCGUGGGGAGCAAACAGGAUUAGAUACCCGGGU
This 230-nucleotide ribosomal RNA is filed under the name uncultured bacterium. RNAcentral's name for it is "partial 16S ribosomal RNA". It matches the Rfam family "Bacterial small subunit ribosomal RNA", at positions 563 to 791 of the family's 1533-position model. The record is from RNAcentral.